This 680-nucleotide ribosomal RNA is filed under the name Escherichia coli. Its description in RNAcentral is "bacterial SSU rRNA". It matches the Rfam family "Bacterial small subunit ribosomal RNA", at positions 865 to 1533 of the family's 1533-position model. The record is from RNAcentral. Lineage: Bacteria; Pseudomonadati; Pseudomonadota; Gammaproteobacteria; Enterobacterales; Enterobacteriaceae.
UCGACCGCCUGGGGAGUACGGCCGCAAGGUUAAAACUCAAAUGAAUUGACGGGGGCCCGCACAAGCGGUGGAGCAUGUGGUUUAAUUCGAUGCAACGCGAAGAACCUUACCUGGUCUUGACAUCCACAGAACUUUCCAGAGAUGGAUUGGUGCCUUCGGGAACUGUGAGACAGGUGCUGCAUGGCUGUCGUCAGCUCGUGUUGUGAAAUGUUGGGUUAAGUCCCGCAACGAGCGCAACCCUUAUCCUUUGUUGCCAGCGGUCCGGCCGGGAACUCAAAGGAGACUGCCAGUGAUAAACUGGAGGAAGGUGGGGAUGACGUCAAGUCAUCAUGGCCCUUACGACCAGGGCUACACACGUGCUACAAUGGCGCAUACAAAGAGAAGCGACCUCGCGAGAGCAAGCGGACCUCAUAAAGUGCGUCGUAGUCCGGAUUGGAGUCUGCAACUCGACUCCAUGAAGUCGGAAUCGCUAGUAAUCGUGGAUCAGAAUGCCACGGUGAAUACGUUCCCGGGCCUUGUACACACCGCCCGUCACACCAUGGGAGUGGGUUGCAAAAGAAGUAGGUAGCUUAACCUUCGGGAGGGCGCUUACCACUUUGUGAUUCAUGACUGGGGUGAAGUCGUAACAAGGUAACCGUAGGGGAACCUGCGGUUGGAUCACCUCCUUACCUUAAAGAAGC